UACAGAGAGUGCGAGCGUUAAUCGGAUUUACUGGGCGUAAAGCGUGCGUAGGUGGCCAAUUAAGUCAAAUGUGAAAUCCCUGAGCUUAACUUAGGAAUUGCAUUCGAUACUGGGAAGCUAGAGUAUGGGAGAGGAUGGUAGAAUUCCAGGUGUAGCGGUGAAAUGCGUAGAGAUCUGGAGGAAUACCGAUGGCGAAGGCAGCCAUCUGGCCUAAUACUGACGCUGAGGUACGAAAGCAUGGGGAGCAAACAGG
This 253-nucleotide ribosomal RNA is filed under the name uncultured Acinetobacter sp. RNAcentral describes it as "partial 16S ribosomal RNA". It matches the Rfam family "Bacterial small subunit ribosomal RNA", at positions 524 to 776 of the family's 1533-position model. The record is from RNAcentral. Lineage: Bacteria; Pseudomonadati; Pseudomonadota; Gammaproteobacteria; Moraxellales; Moraxellaceae.